CUGGUGAAGACACGACUUGUCAUAAGCAAGAGACCUGCCAGCAAGUGAACACACUUCACUCCAUGCUAAGCAAAAGCUGUUACAAGACAUGGCAACGGGAUCACACCACAAGCUGAGUGCUGCUGCUGUCGCCCUGCUGCUGUCUGCCCUGUGGUGGAGCCUCCAUGCUGCUGAUGCCGGAGUUUUGUCCCGUCAUUUGAGCAGUAUUCCAGACCAAAAUCUACUUUAUCCAAGUCCAACCGACGGUUAUCGACGUUUUCUACGCCACAGUCAAUACGAAGGUCAUCCGUACACGCACGGAGCCAUUCAUCAUGACCUGUCCGCAAGCAAGCCCUUGGACAGACCAAAUUUGCACCAACUUUGGCAUGUCGCCAACCUCUCCAAGAAGAGGACUCACCUUUGCGUGGGCAUCGUCCCACACCUCUCCAAGUAGAUGACUUCAACAGUCCUAGGAAUGACCGCCAUCUAGAUUCUCAUAUUGAUGACCAUCCUGGGAUAAGCCAAAUGCCAAAAUCAAAAUCAAGUCAUAUACUCGGUUUCCCCAAUGAUAGAUGGUGUGUAAUGACUAGAAGAUGUGACUGACGACAACACAACAAACACACAAAAAACGAAACUAACGAAAGCAAGCAGACACAGUGAAGACAAAGAAAGUGUGGAGCAUCAUGAACCCAAGUCCGAUGCCAUCUAAAAGGUGUAGUGACACAUGGGCCCUUUCAAAGACAAAACAAAGAAGAGGUCCAAUUUAUCUACAUUACCAGAAGAAAAAAGUAAAACGUCAAUGCCUCCAUCCCCCCCCCCCCCCCCGAAAAGAAAAGAAGAAAAAGUUGAGAAAAUGAACCCCUUUCUUCAUCACAAGCAAGUCCACUAUUACCACUGUGGUGUCUAUAAUUGAAAAUCGGCAUCAUCAGUUGAGUAAAUAAAUCUGUUGUAACUUU
This is a long non-coding RNA of Pomacea canaliculata, 935 nucleotides long. RefSeq lists it as uncharacterized. Lineage: Eukaryota; Metazoa; Mollusca; Gastropoda; Architaenioglossa; Ampullariidae. The record is from RefSeq and is a predicted model, not a curated record. The transcript is spliced from 4 exons.